RNAcentral lists this ribosomal RNA (253 nucleotides) under uncultured bacterium. Its description in RNAcentral is "partial 16S ribosomal RNA". It matches the Rfam family "Bacterial small subunit ribosomal RNA", at positions 524 to 776 of the family's 1533-position model. The record is from RNAcentral.
UACGUAGGGUGCAAGCGUUGUCCGGAAUUAUUGGGCGUAAAGAGCUCGUAGGCGGUUUGUUGCGUCGGCUGUGAAAUCCCGAGGCUCAACCUCGGGUCUGCAGUCGAUACGAGCAAACUAGAGUGUUGCAGGGGAGACUGGAAUUCCUGGUGUAGCGGUGGAAUGCGCAGAUAUCAGGAGGAACACCGAUGGCGAAGGCAGGUCUCUGGGCACUUACUGACGCUGAGGAGCGAAAGCGUGGGGAGCGAACAGG